RNAcentral lists this ribosomal RNA (655 nucleotides) under uncultured archaeon. RNAcentral's name for it is "bacterial SSU rRNA". It matches the Rfam family "Archaeal small subunit ribosomal RNA", at positions 1 to 664 of the family's 1478-position model. The record is from RNAcentral.
UCCGGUUGAUCCUGCCGGAGGCUACUGCUAUUGGGAUUCGACUAAGCCAUGCGAGUCUAUGGACUUCGGUCCAUGGCGGACGGCUCAGUAACACGUGGUUAACCUACCCUUAGGUGGGGGAUAACCUUGGGAAACUGAGGAUAAUACCCCAUAGGAAAAGAGGUUUGGAAUAAUCCUUUUCUGAAAGGACAUCCGCCUAAGGAUGGGACUGCGUCUGGUUAGGUAGUUGGUGGGGUAAUGGCCCACCAAGCCUACAAUCAGUACGGGCCUUGAGAGAGGGAGCCCGGAGAUGGGGACUGAGACACGGCCCCAGGCCCUACGGGGCGCAGCAGGCGCGAAACCUCCACAAUGCACGAAAGUGCGAUGGGGGGAUCCCAAGUGCUUAUGCAAAGCAUAAGCUUUUCCCAAGUCUAAACAACUUGGGGAAUAAGGGCUGGGCAAGUCCGGUGCCAGCAGCCGCGGUAACACCGGCGGCCCAAGUGGUAGCCACUCUUAUUGGGCCUAAAGCGUCCGUAGCCGGUUUAGUAAGUCUCUGUUUAAAUCCUACGGCUUAACCGUAGGGCUGGCAGAGAUACUGCUAGACUUGGGACCGGGAGAGGAAGAGGGUACUUCAGGGGUAGCGGUUGAAUGCGUUGAUCCCUGAGGGACCACCUAU